RNAcentral lists this ribosomal RNA (253 nucleotides) under uncultured bacterium. RNAcentral describes it as "partial 16S ribosomal RNA". It matches the Rfam family "Bacterial small subunit ribosomal RNA", at positions 524 to 776 of the family's 1533-position model. The record is from RNAcentral.
UACAGAGGGUGCAAGCGUUGUUCGGAAUCAUUGGGCGUAAAGGGCGCGUAGGCGGCCUUCCAAGUCCUGUGUGAAAUCCCUCGGCUCAACUGAGGAAUUGCACGGGAAACUGUUUGGCUUGAGUUCGGGAGAGGGAAGCGGAAUUCCGGGUGUAGCGGUGAAAUGCGUAGAUAUCCGGAGGAACACCGGUGGCGAAGGCGGCUUCCUGGACCGACACUGACGCUGAGGCGCGAAAGCUAGGGGAGCAAACGGG